Molecule: long non-coding RNA, 615 nt
Organism: Vitis vinifera (wine grape)
Lineage: Eukaryota; Viridiplantae; Streptophyta; Magnoliopsida; Vitales; Vitaceae
Exons: 2
Source: RefSeq, a predicted model, not a curated record
GCGCACUUCAGGGUCGUGUUGAGGAGCGCUCAGGUGAGCGAAUUGGCCAAGGAAGCUUCAGGUGCGCGUCGGGGCGGCUUCAGGUCGCUUCGGGGUAAGCUUCAGGGUCGUGUUGAGGAGCGCUCAGGUGAGCGAAUUGGCCAAGGAAGCUUCAGGUGCGCGUCGCGGCGCGCUUCAGGUGCGCGUCGGGGCGCCCUUCAGGUCGCUUCGGGGUAAGCUUCAGGGUCGUGUCGAGGCGCGCUCAGGUGAGCGAAUUGGCUUCAGGUGCGCGUCGAGCCUCGCUCCAGUGCGCGUCGAGGCGCGCUUCAGGUGCGCGUCGGGGCGCGCUUCGGGGUCGUGUCAAGGCGCGCUUCGGGGUCGUGUCAAGGCGCGCUUCAGAGCGAGGCGGCUACCCCGAAAGGGAUACGCGUCAGGGUUCGAGAAUGGAUGAGGCACGCUUCCGGUGCCCGCUUUUCAGACCUGGAGGGUGGACGCGUCAGUCUGAAUGUGGUUGAACAAAAAAUGAAAUGGAUGCAAAGCAAAUUUUACAUUUGUUUUUUUAUAAGAACUAUACAUUUUAUGUAAAGGUUUUAUAUUUUAUGUAAAAUAUAGAAAGUAUAUCCACUUGUCACCUUA